CGGGACACCCAGCCGCGGCUGGUAAUGGCAGGUCGGUGGUGGCUCGUUGGAGCCGCCGCCUCGCAGUUCCCAAAGUACCUUCACGUCCUCCUUUAGACCUCGGCUGCGGGGCGUGAGCUGCGCGCUCAGUGUUGUCCGCGCGGCCCCAAACCGAUAGUUUCCGUUCCCACGGUGUCAAUUUUCAUUCCUGCGCUGACUGCCAAAUCGCAUUUCAUUCAUUUCAUUCCUCAGAUCGCCGCUCCCCUUAACGAGCUGUAUAACCUUGGGAAAGUUGCUUAAUUUCUCUGAGCCUCAGUUUCCUCCAUCCCUUCGUAUCUGUAAGGAAAAAUAGCUCUCCAAAAUACAGUACUUUCAAAAGAGAAAAACCUACAUCUCCCAUGAUGCCUCAGAUCCGGAAGGAUGUGAGACUCGACUCCUCCCAUGAUUGCUUAUAGACCGGAAGCCGGGGCCUUAGUUCUCUUUCCCAACUUGCAAGGUAAGAAUGGUGGCGCUUCUCUGCAAGACUUGGUUUCAGAACCCCAAUCCUUCUCCAUCCGAACCUGGAGGGUAUCAAGUCGACACCUAUGGCGGGUGAAAAAGCCGGGAAGCCGGACACGAAGGAGAAGAAACCUGAAGCCAAGAAGGCUGAUGCUGGCGGCAAGGUUAAGAAGGCUAACCUCAAGGCCAAAACGCCUAAGAAGGGGAAGCCGCACUGCAGCCGAAACCCUGUCCUGGUCAGAGGAAUCGGCAGGUAUUCCCGCUCAGCCAUGUAUUCCCGAAAGGCCAUGUACAAGAGGAAGUACUCAGCAGCUAAAUCCAGGGUAA
Molecule: long non-coding RNA, 804 nt
Filed under: Rhinolophus ferrumequinum (greater horseshoe bat)
Lineage: Eukaryota; Metazoa; Chordata; Mammalia; Chiroptera; Rhinolophidae
Description: lncRNA (ENSRFEG00010010107.1)
Source: RNAcentral